GUUGCCGUAGCUCAGUGGAUAGAGCGUCUCCCUGCGGAGGAGAAGGUCGGAGGUUCGACCCCUCUCGGCAACGCC
This 75-nucleotide transfer RNA is filed under the name Reticulibacter mediterranei. RNAcentral's name for it is "tRNA-Arg". It matches the Rfam family "tRNA". Rfam says of the family: Transfer RNA (tRNA) molecules are approximately 80 nucleotides in length. Their secondary structure includes four short double-helical elements and three loops (D, anti-codon, and T loops). Lineage: Bacteria; Bacillati; Chloroflexota; Ktedonobacteria; Ktedonobacterales; Reticulibacteraceae. The record is from RNAcentral.